GGAUUAGAUACCCUGGUAGUCCACACUGUAAACGCUGUCUACUAGCUGUUUGUGUAUUUAAUACGUGAGUAGCGAAGCUAACGCGCUAAGUAGACCGCCUGGGGAGUACGGCCGCAAGGUUAAAACUCAAAGGAAUUGACGGGGGCCCGCACAAGCAGCGGAGCGUGUGGUUUAAUUCGAAGCAACGCGAAGAACCUUACCUACUCUUGACAUCCUGCGAACUUGCUAGAGAUAGCUUGGUGCCUUCGGGAGCGCAGUGACAGGUGCUGCAUGGCUGUCGUCAGCUCGUGCCG
RNAcentral lists this ribosomal RNA (293 nucleotides) under uncultured bacterium. RNAcentral's name for it is "partial 16S ribosomal RNA". It matches the Rfam family "Bacterial small subunit ribosomal RNA", at positions 775 to 1067 of the family's 1533-position model. The record is from RNAcentral.